UACGAAGGGGGCUAGCGUUGUUCGGAAUUACUGGGCGUAAAGCGCACGCAGGCGGUUCGGUCAGUCAGAAGUGAAAGCCCCGGGCUUAACCUGGGAACUGCUUUUGAUACUGCCGAGCUUGAAUCACGGAGAGGGUAGUGGAAUUCCGAGUGUAGAGGUGAAAUUCGUAGAUAUUCGGAAGAACACCAGUGGCGAAGGCGACUACCUGGCCGUCGAUUGACGCUCAUGUGCGAAAGCGUGGGGAGCAAACAGG
Molecule: ribosomal RNA, 253 nt
Filed under: uncultured bacterium
Lineage: Bacteria
Also listed under: 1 other name
Description: partial 16S ribosomal RNA
Rfam family: Bacterial small subunit ribosomal RNA
Source: RNAcentral